AAAUUCACGCUAAUACCGCAUGUGUCCUACGGGACAAAGCAGGGGACCUUCGGGCCUUGCGCUAUUGGAUGAGCCUAUGUCGGAUUAGCUAGUUGGUAGGGUAACGGCCUACCAAGGCGACGAUCCGUAGCUGGUCUGAGAGGAUGAUCAGCCACACUGGAACUGAGACACGGUCCAGACUCCUACGGGAGGCAGCAGUGGGGAAUAUUGCACAAUGGGCGCAAGCCUGAUGCAGCAAUGCCGCGUGUGUGAAGAAGGCCUGCGGGUUGUAAAGCACUUUUAUUAGGAAAGAAAAACUCAAGGUUAAUACCCUUGAACUUGACGGUACCUAAAGAAUAAGCACCGGCUAACUAAGUGCCAGCAGCCGCGGUAAUACUUAGGGGUGCAAGCGUUUAAUCGGAAUUACUGGGCGUAAAGCGAGUGUAGGCGGCUACUUAAGUCGGAUGUGAAAUCCCCCGGGGCUCCAACCUGGGAAACUGCAUUUCGAUACUGGGUUACUUAGAAGUUUGGGUA
Molecule: ribosomal RNA, 513 nt
Filed under: uncultured bacterium
Lineage: Bacteria
Description: partial 16S rRNA
Rfam family: Bacterial small subunit ribosomal RNA
Source: RNAcentral